RNAcentral lists this ribosomal RNA (253 nucleotides) under uncultured bacterium. Its description in RNAcentral is "partial 16S ribosomal RNA". It matches the Rfam family "Bacterial small subunit ribosomal RNA", at positions 524 to 776 of the family's 1533-position model. The record is from RNAcentral.
UACGAACCGUACAAACGUUAUUCGGAAUCACUGGGCUUAAAGGGUGCGUAGGCGGCCACGUAAGUGAGAUGUGAAAUCCCUCGGCUCAACCGAGGAAGUGCAUUUCAUACUGCAUGGCUUGAGGGAGACAGGGGUAAGCGGAACUGAUGGUGGAGCGGUGAAAUGCGUUGAUAUCAUCAGGAACACCGGUGGCGAAAGCGGCUUGCCAGAAUGCGCUCGACGGUGAGGGAUGAAAGCUGGGGGAGCAAACCGG